UAGGGAAUAUUGGACAAUGGGGGCAACCCUGAUCCAGCCAUGCCGCGUGAGUGAAGAAGGCCCUCGGGUUGUAAAGCUCUUUUGUCCGGAAAGAAAAGCUUCGGGUUAAUACCCCGGGGUUCUGACGGUACCGGAAGAAUAAGCACCGGCUAACUUCUUGCCAGCAGCCGCGGUAAUACGAAGGGUGCAAGCGUUACUCGGAAUUACUGGCCGUAAAGCGUGCGUAGGUGGUUGUUUAAGUCUGAUGUGAAAGCCCUGGGCUCAACCUGGGAAUGGCAUUGGAAACCGGGCAGCUAGAGUGCGGUAGAGGGUAGUGGAAUUCCCGGUGUAGCAGUGAAAUGUGUAGCGAUCGGGAGGAACAUCUGUGGCGAAGGCGACUGCCUGGACCAGCACUGACACUGAGGCACGAAAGCGUGGGGAGCAAACA
This 427-nucleotide ribosomal RNA is filed under the name uncultured bacterium. RNAcentral's name for it is "bacterial SSU rRNA". It matches the Rfam family "Bacterial small subunit ribosomal RNA", at positions 355 to 774 of the family's 1533-position model. The record is from RNAcentral.